This 243-nucleotide long non-coding RNA is filed under the name Musa acuminata (dwarf banana). RNAcentral's name for it is "long non-coding RNA (MACU_LNC003294)". The record is from RNAcentral. Lineage: Eukaryota; Viridiplantae; Streptophyta; Magnoliopsida; Zingiberales; Musaceae.
UUGAGCGAUGACUCAAGUGAUGAGGACAAUGAUGAACUUGAACUUCGAACACUAAAUCUUAAUAAGUUUAUUAAACAAAAAUCUAAAAUAAACAAUGAACUUGAACGGAGGAAGAGGCCAAAGAAAAAGGAAGGCACCCAAGGAUGAAUCAACAACUUCCAAAGGUGAAACGACAAAUUGGGCUUUGACGAGCUUCGACUACAAGGUAAGUAACUCAACUCUCUUGAAUUAUUUUGAAAUUAC